UUCAGAUACCCUUCUACCUCUGUGUGUGCGAACAGACAUUUGCUCAGUGCUGAAAAUGACUGUAUCUCGUGUUUACUGCUUCGUUUCCUUAGGCAUUCUGGCCGUGAAUGAAGCAGUCGGUCACGGAGAUACCAGCCCUACCCUGAGUGCCUUGUGCUCACCAGAUGUGGGGCUGUACGGAGUCGCUGCAGAGUGUGCAGAGACAUACCAGCGAGAGUUGGCAGAAGUCGAAAGGAGAAAAGUGGCCACAGGAGGCAGUGGCAGUGAACGGGUGAAACACUGGGUGAGAGGAGGCUGUCAUCAUUAUCAUAACGUGAGGACCAGAGAGGGAGGAUGGGAUGAGCCGACAGAAUUUGUGCAGAAUGACACACAGCUGUCACGGGAGGAGAUGCAGAGCACUGUAUCUGGAGUCACGGCAGCAUACGAGCGAGAGCAGUUGUGGCUGGCCAAAGAGAACCUGCUGGUGAAGCUUCAGGCACGUUGUCGAGGCUGUCUUGUCUGUCAGGAAUUCAACUCCAGAAUGAGGUUUUUGAAGAAGCAAGUUCCAGCCAUCACUUGCAUGCAGUCCCAGUGGCGUGGCUAUAAACAGAGGAAGGCAUAUCAAAUCCGUUCGGAUUACUGACGAGCACACAAGGACCAAGAAGUGAAGAUUCAGUCACUGGCCAGGAUGUAUCAAGGCAGAAGGCGUUACAGAGAUCACCUGCAAUAUUUCAGAGACAACAUAAAUGACGUUAUAAAAACUCAAGCUUUUAUCCGAGGAAACAAAGCAGGAGAAGACUACAAAACCCUCAGUAAGUGUGGCCAAAAGAAUAAAGCUAAUAUGCUUUGAAUCUCUAUUUGCAGAAAAAUACUGUUAGUGAGAUCUGCAACAGGAAGAGAGCUAUGAAAAUCAGUUGGGGUGAAGUGGUGC
Long non-coding RNA from Tympanuchus pallidicinctus (lesser prairie-chicken), 910 nucleotides. RefSeq lists it as uncharacterized. The transcript has 7 exons. Lineage: Eukaryota; Metazoa; Chordata; Aves; Galliformes; Phasianidae. The record is from RefSeq and is a predicted model, not a curated record.